AUAUCAAUAAGCGGAGGAAAAGAAACCAACAGGGAUUGCCUUAGUAACGGCGAGUGAAGCGGCAACAGCUCAAAUUUGAAAUCUGGCUCUUUCAGAGUCCGAGUUGUAAUUUGCAGAGGGCGCUUUGGCUUUGGCAGCGGUCCAAGUUCCUUGGAACAGGACGUCACAGAGGGUGAGAAUCCCGUACGUGGUCGCUAGCUAUUGCCGUGUAAAGCCCCUUCGACGAGUCGAGUUGUUUGGGAAUGCAGCUCUAAAUGGGAGGUAAAUUUCUUCUAAAGCUAAAUAUUGGCCAGAGACCGAUAGCGCACAAGUAGAGUGAUCGAAAGAUGAAAAGCACUUUGGAAAGAGAGUCAAACAGCACGUGAAAUUGUUGAAAGGGAAGCGCUUGCAGCCAGACUUGCUUGCAGUUGCUCAUCCGGGCUUUUGCCCGGUGCACUCUUCUGCAGGCAGGCCAGCAUCAGUUUGGGCGGUGGGAUAAAGGUCUCUGACACGUUCCUUCCUUCGGGUUGGCCAUAUAGGGGAGACGUCAUACCACCAGCCUGGACUGAGGUCCGCGCAUCUGCUAGGAUGCUGGCGUAAUGGCUGUAAGCGGCCCGUCUUGAAACACGGACCAAGGAGUCUAACAUCUAUGCGAGUGUUUGGGUGUCAAGCCCGAGCGCGUAAUGAAAGUGAACGGAGGUGGGAACCCGCAAGGGCGCACCAUCGACCGAUCCUGAAGUUUACGGAAGGAUUUGAGUAAGAGCAUGGCUGUUGGGACCCGAAAGAUGGUGAACUAUGCUUGAAUAGGGUGAAGCCAGAGGAAACUCUGGUGGAGGCUCGCAGCGGUUCUGACGUGCAAAUCGAUCGUCAAAUUUGGGCAUAGGGGCGAAAGACUAAUCGAACUAUCUAGUAGCUGGUUCCUGCC
This 904-nucleotide ribosomal RNA is filed under the name Curvularia geniculata. Its description in RNAcentral is "LSU rRNA". It matches the Rfam family "Eukaryotic large subunit ribosomal RNA", at positions 40 to 962 of the family's 3401-position model. The record is from RNAcentral. Lineage: Eukaryota; Fungi; Ascomycota; Dothideomycetes; Pleosporales; Pleosporaceae.